GAUCCUGGCUCAGGAUGAACGCUAGCGACAGGCUUAACACAUGCAAGUCGGGGGGCAGCACAGGUAGCAAUACCGGGUGGCGACCGGCGCACGGGUGAGUAACGCGUAUGCAACUUGCCUAUCAGAGGGGGGAUAACCCGGCGAAAGUCGGACUAAUACCGCAUGAAGCAGGGGCCCCGCAUGGGGAUAUUUGCUAAAGAUUCAUCGCUGAUAGAUAGGCAUGCGUUCCAUUAGG
RNAcentral lists this ribosomal RNA (235 nucleotides) under uncultured bacterium. RNAcentral describes it as "partial 16S ribosomal RNA". It matches the Rfam family "Bacterial small subunit ribosomal RNA", at positions 15 to 245 of the family's 1533-position model. The record is from RNAcentral.